Molecule: long non-coding RNA, 2427 nt
Organism: Physcomitrium patens
Lineage: Eukaryota; Viridiplantae; Streptophyta; Bryopsida; Funariales; Funariaceae
Source: RefSeq, a predicted model, not a curated record
GCGGCCACAAGGGGUGUGGGAACUCGUGAGCUCUGGGGGUUCCAUGGUGUUAAAUAUAUCGUGCGCAUGUUAUCCUUCUGGACUUUACUGUGCCAGUAGUGCGUGGCGAUGCGAACGUGGAGGGCGUGAGACUUAUGCGGGCCUCUGAGACAGCGUGGUAGUGAGCCUUAUUAAUAGCUGCUUCGCACGUCUGGGGUGGAGUUGCGACAACCCGAGCAAGCAACCUGGGCCUAGACGGCUACAAGGGUACCGCACCCCCUCUGUUGACAAUCCAUUUCAGUCAUUCGAAGUCGGAGUUGGGAUCCGAACAAAACUGCCUCUAGGCGCCGGGUACCAAGUGUCCUGGCGCGCAGCUGCUGCUUAGAAUCUGAUGUGUCUGAUGGGUCGAGUUCUCAGCCUCCUACAAGAGGCCUUCGAAUGUUGUUGCACAUUCGGAAUUGACUUCGUUGUAUCUGAAUGCCUUGCAUUGAGAUUCCAUUGUGUCAAGUCAUAAACUCCUUAGAGUGUUCAAAGCCACUGGUCGCUGUUAUGUGUAUCAACUUGUUGACGGGACCAGUUAGUUCUUUUAUUUUUAUUUUUAUUUAUUUUUUGUUUUUCACUUUUGUCGUUGAUAAUGGAGCACUCAUAUUGGUUGCGGAGUGAAGUACGCGAUCGCACAACUGAAUCGUGAUUGCUGAAGUCUGUUUUGCUUCGUGUGCCUGUUUGUGAAAAGCCUUGAUUUGAAGUUGAUGCGACCCUGAGGAAUGUAGUUCUCUUGCAUCCAGUACAAUUCUCUAGAUAUGAAGAACUUGUAUGUAUUGUAGUUGCGUCGUGUGUGACAUUCUUCUUAAGAGUGUACCACGUACCACACAACGACUUCCUGUUUGUGAAAACGAUCAUACUCGGAAUGUAGUCUAGCUAAGUUUUAAUGCAGCUUUGAUGUUACAAGCUUCAGCGGGGACCAUGCAGAUCUUCGUUACAUAAGUGAUCAAGUAUUGACGAUGAGCGGUUCAAGAAAAGUCCACAGCUGAAGGGGGCGGGAAUGGUUUGAGUGUAGUUCUGCGCAAACCAGUCAAUCAACAUGUAGAAGCCGGUCGUCCAUUUCGAAUUUCUGUCCAUGUAGUGACUGCCACCUCUAUUUUUUUACUCCGUUCUGGGAUUGUUCAUCGCGAUCAAGGUUACAGCACCAUCCAAGACUGCGAGUUCGCUUUGUUGCUCACCCUCAUCUUGGAGUACUGCAUCUUCACAUCUCUGGGUUUCACAAUCUGCCUCAGGUUGUUAAAGUGCCGGAGUAAAAUUGUGUUAUUGGAUAUUCAGUAAAGAUGGGUGCGAAAAUGGAGUCAAUCCAUCAUUUGCAUAGUACUAGAGAUAAAGUGUUUACACACUUAUCAUAGUACAAAACUCGGGGCACUUGAGCACACCAUAUGGAAAGAAGGUUUGAAAUUCUUGUGAUGGGCAGAUGCAGAACUGCAAGAAGUGAGUGGGCAACAGGCUAUUUUCGAAGAUCUCGUGAAUGUCGACAAUCCAGGUACUAACAAAGCAUACCCCAGGGAGCAUGUUUCUUAUCUCUAACGAAGACAGUGUCAACUCAAGAAAUUCAAUCGGAGUAGCUUAUUUUAUUGCCACAAUCACAGCGUGCGGAUGUGUGCACCACUCAUAUGGUUCGGUCAGUAGAUCAGUGUCACUAUUAUUCUUGUCAUUGGGACACUCGUUUCAGAUUCGAAUAACCUAGCCAGGUGAAUUCGUUUAGGAUCUUAGCAUUUACCAUUGCAUGUGCGAGGGAACAACUAACACGACGUCUUAUUUUGCGAGAAAUCGAGGUCUGAACACUGCUCGUUAAGGUCAAAGAUUGAUCACAGAACGUGCAUUGCGGUUCAGUUAUUUGGCUACGUAAUGUGAACCUAGUGUUCAAAGAACCUGUUAUCAAAUUGGAGUUGAAUCAGUGAAGACACGGACCUAUAUCCGUCUUAGAUACCGGUUAUUGGCAGCAUAGCUCAUACAUAACACAGUAAUCACACCAAUCGUGGAGCAUCGCACAUCAAGUUAGUGUUGGGAAUAAACGGAACCCGUUCCUGGGACUCGGGUAGGCUCACAGAGAAGAGAAGAGAAGAGAAGAGAAGAAACUGCACAAGUGUUCUGUUCCCGCACUGGCGAUGGUGCCAGUAAGCUUGACGAGAGCAGAUCGAAGCGCAAGCAGAUCCAUGUUUACGGCUCAUGAAGCGCACCGCAACCUGGAAACUCGUUUGGCACGAUCUAGAUUUGCGUUUGUGGGCGUAUCGGCUCCGCCAGUGCUUCCCAGACGCACCGCAGGUUCUUCGGAGACAGUUUUUGUGGACUGUGUAAUGAGACUUUGUUUGUUUGAUUUUUAAGAUAUAAAAGGAUCUAUUGUACUUGACUGUUCAAUUAAUUUUUGUGACCACAGAUCUACUACUAUAUCUUCUAUUAAAA